Molecule: ribosomal RNA, 214 nt
Filed under: Campeiostachys nutans
Lineage: Eukaryota; Viridiplantae; Streptophyta; Magnoliopsida; Poales; Poaceae
Description: Elymus nutans partial small subunit ribosomal RNA
Rfam family: Eukaryotic small subunit ribosomal RNA (bases 37-214)
Source: RNAcentral
GGAUCAAUAUGUUGGUCGUGCCUUGGUACGUACUAGUUUAUUGGUUUCUCCCUUCUGACGAACCAUGAUGUCAUUAAUUUGAUGUCGUGGAGAAUCAGGACUGUUACUUUGAAAAAAUUAGAGUGUUUAAAGCAGGCUUUCGCUUGAAUACAUUAGCAUGGAAUAAUGAAAUAGGACGUUCGAUCCUAUUUUGUUGGUUUCUAGGAUUGACGUA